Long non-coding RNA from Perca flavescens (yellow perch), 785 nucleotides. RefSeq lists it as uncharacterized. Lineage: Eukaryota; Metazoa; Chordata; Actinopteri; Perciformes; Percidae. The record is from RefSeq and is a predicted model, not a curated record. The transcript has 3 exons.
UCCAGAAAUAGGUGAUUGACUCCUUUCUUAUUGCCAGUAGACGAGUAUGCCUUUCUGUUUCUUUUCUGGCCUGUCACGCUCAACAUCACAUCUGCGCCGAAAACUGGGUUAGUAAACAUUCGAAAGCCGCAUGGAGGCCAGUGAAAAUGUUACAGUGGUUGCUUCUUUUUUGUAUCUGUUACUUAUUCAGUCUCUCUUUCAAACUCGGUGUCGACUAAUUUCGAACAAUGUCCAAGCGUUGCUUGGGUGGAGACGGACAGUAUUUGUGGCCGAGAUGACAAAAGUUACCAGUGGCGGCGACACCCGUCUUUCCAUCGCGCCGGAAAAGGGGCUAAAAUUACCGUGUCCACCUGGGUGUUACGUUUCCAUCACUGCCAUCAGAGCUGGAGCCGCUAUUGGCACGAUUGAACUUCCAAGUCAUCUUACCUGCACGUCUUUGCACUCUGGGAGGAAAUCAAUGCACAGAGUCAAACAGGCUAUUUUGAGACAAGGCUGUGGAACCCACUGCCUUUAGCCCCCAUCACCCGGCACUCUCAGGGGGUUUACCAGGGUCCCCUGGCCUUCUGGUGCUGACAUUUAGACCCACAUGAAUCAAUGAGACAAGCUGUGGAGGGACGCCUGAAUUUCACAGCAGUAACCCUUGCAGUUCACAUUUAGCCCAUGCCAUGUACAGGCAGAAGGGUUGCAGGGUCUUUGAGACAUUUUUAGCCUGAUUUCUCCUUGUGCAGAUUUGUAAAACAAGGCAAGGCAAUAAUGGGAAAAGAUCCCUGUUCGGACAAAAUCUA